UUGUUCGGAUUCAUUGGGCGUAAAGGGUGUGUAGGUGGCGCCGUAAGUCGGGUGUGAAAUUUCGGAGCUUAACUCCGAAACUGCAUUCGAUACUGCGGUGCUUGAGGACUGGAGAGGAGACUGGAAUUCAUGGUGUAGCAGUGAAAUGCGUAGAGAUCAUGAGGAAGACCAGUGGCGAAGGCGGGUCUCUGGACAGUUCCUGACACUGAGACACGAAGGCCAGGGGAGCAAACGGG
Molecule: ribosomal RNA, 236 nt
Filed under: uncultured bacterium
Lineage: Bacteria
Description: partial 16S ribosomal RNA
Rfam family: Bacterial small subunit ribosomal RNA
Source: RNAcentral